Molecule: ribosomal RNA, 834 nt
Filed under: Perforatella incarnata
Lineage: Eukaryota; Metazoa; Mollusca; Gastropoda; Stylommatophora; Hygromiidae
Description: Monachoides incarnatus partial large subunit ribosomal RNA
Source: RNAcentral
AAUUAUUAUUAGAUUUUUAAAUAAUUAUUCACGAAAUAAAUUGAGCUAAAUUUUUGGUAUUUUUGGAAAUUAUAACUAUAUGUUACAAAAUAUAUUAACUAAAUAGAUUUAGGGGUGAAAGGCCUAUCAAAUUUUAUGAUAUCUUGAAGUAUAUAAAAUAUAUCAAGUAUUUCUAAUUCAACUAUUGAAUGUUUAGGUUCAAUAGUAACAUUAUAUUUUUAAAAAAAUUGUUCAAUUUUUUUAAGUAAAAUUGAGUUAGAGCAUAAAAUAUACAUCAAAUUUUUAUUAUAUGAAUAUAAAUAUACUACGGUUAUUAAUAAAUAUAAUCAUAUAUAAUGUAAUUAUUAGUAAUAGUUUAUUAAACUAUAUAAAGGAAUUCGGCAAGAAAAUUUUUCACCUGUUUAUCAAAAACAUAGCUUAUUGAAUAUCAUAAUAAGUAACCCCUGCUCAAUGGAAAUCUAAAUAGCCGCAGUACCUUGACUGUGCAAAGGUAGCAUAAUCAAUUGGCUUAUAAUUGAAGUCUGGAAUGAAUGGGUAAUCUGGAAAAUAACUGUCUUUAUUUGUAGUAUUUUGAAUUUACUUAUAAAGUGAAAAUACUUUAAUAUAAAUAUAAGACGAGAAGACCCUAGAAAUUUUUUGUUAAUAACUUUUGUUGGGGCGACAGGGUAACAUAUAAACUUACUUACAUUUAUAUAAAUCUUAUAAGGUACGUAACUAAAUUACUCUAGGGAUAACAGCAUAAUAUAUAAAAGUUUAUGACCUCGAUGUUGGACUAGGUAAUUAAAUAUUUAAAAGAUAUCUUAAUUUGCUCUGUUCGAGCAGUACCACCUACAU